RNAcentral lists this ribosomal RNA (1553 nucleotides) under Escherichia coli O103 str. RM8385. RNAcentral's name for it is "bacterial SSU rRNA". It matches the Rfam family "Bacterial small subunit ribosomal RNA". The record is from RNAcentral. Lineage: Bacteria; Pseudomonadati; Pseudomonadota; Gammaproteobacteria; Enterobacterales; Enterobacteriaceae.
AAAUUGAAGAGUUUGAUCAUGGCUCAGAUUGAACGCUGGCGGCAGGCCUAACACAUGCAAGUCGAACGGUAACAGGAAACAGCUUGCUGUUUCGCUGACGAGUGGCGGACGGGUGAGUAAUGUCUGGGAAACUGCCUGAUGGAGGGGAUAACUACUGGAAACGGUAGCUAAUACCGCAUAACGUCGCAAGACCAAAGAGGGGGACCUUCGGGCCUCUUGCCAUCGGAUGUGCCCAGAUGGGAUUAGCUUGUUGGUGGGGUAACGGCUCACCAAGGCGACGAUCCCUAGCUGGUCUGAGAGGAUGACCAGCCACACUGGAACUGAGACACGGUCCAGACUCCUACGGGAGGCAGCAGUGGGGAAUAUUGCACAAUGGGCGCAAGCCUGAUGCAGCCAUGCCGCGUGUAUGAAGAAGGCCUUCGGGUUGUAAAGUACUUUCAGCGGGGAGGAAGGGAGUAAAGUUAAUACCUUUGCUCAUUGACGUUACCCGCAGAAGAAGCACCGGCUAACUCCGUGCCAGCAGCCGCGGUAAUACGGAGGGUGCAAGCGUUAAUCGGAAUUACUGGGCGUAAAGCGCACGCAGGCGGUUUGUUAAGUCAGAUGUGAAAUCCCCGGGCUCAACCUGGGAACUGCAUCUGAUACUGGCAAGCUUGAGUCUCGUAGAGGGGGGUAGAAUUCCAGGUGUAGCGGUGAAAUGCGUAGAGAUCUGGAGGAAUACCGGUGGCGAAGGCGGCCCCCUGGACGAAGACUGACGCUCAGGUGCGAAAGCGUGGGGAGCAAACAGGAUUAGAUACCCUGGUAGUCCACGCCGUAAACGAUGUCGACUUGGAGGUUGUGCCCUUGAGGCGUGGCUUCCGGAGCUAACGCGUUAAGUCGACCGCCUGGGGAGUACGGCCGCAAGGUUAAAACUCAAAUGAAUUGACGGGGGCCCGCACAAGCGGUGGAGCAUGUGGUUUAAUUCGAUGCAACGCGAAGAACCUUACCUGGUCUUGACAUCCACAGAACUUUCCAGAGAUGGAUUGGUGCCUUCGGGAACUGUGAGACAGGUGCUGCAUGGCUGUCGUCAGCUCGUGUUGUGAAAUGUUGGGUUAAGUCCCGCAACGAGCGCAACCCUUAUCCUUUGUUGCCAGCGGUCCGGCCGGGAACUCAAAGGAGACUGCCAGUGAUAAACUGGAGGAAGGUGGGGAUGACGUCAAGUCAUCAUGGCCCUUACGACCAGGGCUACACACGUGCUACAAUGGCGCAUACAAAGAGAAGCGACCUCGCGAGAGCAAGCGGACCUCAUAAAGUGCGUCGUAGUCCGGAUUGGAGUCUGCAACUCGACUCCAUGAAGUCGGAAUCGCUAGUAAUCGUGGAUCAGAAUGCCACGGUGAAUACGUUCCCGGGCCUUGUACACACCGCCCGUCACACCAUGGGAGUGGGUUGCAAAAGAAGUAGGUAGCUUAACCUUCGGGAGGGCGCUUACCACUUUGUGAUUCAUGACUGGGGUGAAGUCGUAACAAGGUAACCGUAGGGGAACCUGCGGUUGGAUCACCUCCUUACCUUAAAGAAGC